RNAcentral lists this long non-coding RNA (2778 nucleotides) under Nicotiana tabacum (common tobacco). RNAcentral's name for it is "long non-coding RNA (NTAB_LNC007678)". The record is from RNAcentral. Lineage: Eukaryota; Viridiplantae; Streptophyta; Magnoliopsida; Solanales; Solanaceae.
AUUUCCAUGGCCUUUCAGCUCCGUCAAAAGACAUCACAUGUGCGUUCUCUCUCUCCCUCCUUCUAACCAAGCAGGCAGCAGCUUUACAACUUCUAAAUUCUCUGAUAAGCAAAAACAAACUAAUUAAGAAACAUAUCUGGUAGAAAUGCCAAGCAAAAUCAUUUAAGCUAGCGAUGAGUAUUAGCUCCCUCAUCCCCGUUCAACAACAAGUUCCUAUUAGUUGGAGAAAAAUACCAAAGCGUGUAACCAUUCAAGUCUGCUUUCAGACUUAUCAUCCAAAGAGUUAAUAGGAUCCUGCAAUAUCAUUAGAAACAGCCAAUUAGCAGUUCUAGCUAGAAUUAUUAUUACAAAUGAAACAUUCUAGAGUAACUUAUAUGACUAAAGGCCUGCAGUUAUUCUGGAAAUCUUUAAGCAGUGAAAAUUAUGUAAAACUUCUGAAAGCAGAUGCUUUUUCAACCAAUGUCAGCAUAACCCGAACGUUUAUGAAACUGAAACUAAAUGGGCCAAAUUAGACCUCUCUAUCCGGUCAAAGUCACUGUGAAAGUACGAUAUAUUCUCCUUCUUUGUUUUGUGUGUGUGGUGGGGGGGGGGGGGGAUCUUUGGUGUUUCGAAGAGGAUGGCAAUAUUGUAGCCUGUACCAUGCAAGGCAACAGGACCUAGUAAAAAUGUAGCAGCAAUCCGCAACCAAAGUUGAAUAUUUGAUGUCUGGAGUACUGUGGCGGGUAAGACCUGCAUUUAGAAAGAAAGUUUUAGUUCAAAUAUUCCAACAAGUAAUAUAUAUUUCUUCCACUUCAGCUGCUACAUAGCUGAGCGUGAUAUCCACACACUCUUUCCCUACAUUGUCACCACAGAAAGGAGGAUAAAUUUCAUCUGAACUUCAGAACUCAACACAAAUCAUUUUGUUUAGGCAUGUUAGACAGAGAAGAUACCACCAAAAUCCACCCCUCCUUUUCUUCUCCUCUAUCUCAUAACCCAACCCAAAACAAAGCCCUUCUUAUUCUCCAUACCUUUUCAUUCUCCAAUUUCCAGUGAUCCCAAUUGUCUUAGAGUCUUCCUAAAAGCAAAGGCAUCUUUUCCCAAAACAUAAGCAUUUUUCCGCGCAUCCUAUUCUAGGGAGACAAGAGGGAACGGCAACCAAGUUCACGCUUUAAAGCACUGAUUUCAAUUAUCAUUCAAUUCUCCACGAAGGCCUCGAAUAUCUAGGUUCCUCUCACCUCCACAGAACCCUACCUUGGUCUGGGAUGGACGGAGACAGGGUCCCUCCCUACUUCACCUUUGGACCAUAGAUGAAAAAUGAACAAUUUUCCCUAUGAAUUUCAAAGAUAAUACCAACUACUUAGGAAUAAGGAAAUCAGUCAUGUUGGUACAAUUAUGUAUGAUCUCGUGCUUAAAAGGAGUCAUUAUCUUUUACAUAUUUGUAUGUCAGUAGAAAAAUAGAGAACUUCUAGUAGUAGAGAAUCCCAAGUUAUUGAAUAUUGGAAUGAUACGGGUACAAAUGGAGUGAAAUGGAUAAUACAAUCAUAACCCCAACUAGCUUAAGAUGAGGUAUAGUUGUUAACACCAAUACCAGGAUGUACCCCUAUGCCAUCUACCAAAAAUAAGAAAACUAGGGAGUGGAUGGAGACCCAACUUCACCUUUUGGCCAUAGAUACAAACAAAAACAACUCGCCCUAUGAAUUUAAUUAAAUUCUCAAGACCCCAUUCCGUAUAUCUAAACAUAAGAAAGAUCUCAUCUGCAGCCACUUGGUCUGUAGAAGCCUAGAGGAGGGGAGGGAGGUAAACUGAACAACUUUGCCUGAGAAAUUUAAAAAUGAAAAAUUGAACUAUCAAGAAUGAAUACGAGGAUGUUCCUGGAUGCAAUCUACUAUCAUAAAAUUAAGAAAUAUCUCCUCCCCAAGCAAUUGCAUAUUUUGACAAAUCAUUUUCCCAAAUAUAAUUUACUAACAGUAACAUGCCAUAAACCUUCAUUUUCAUAUCAUGCCACUAUCACUCACCUGAACAUGUUUGAUAUACACGAAUGAUUUGUCGUGCGCUGCUAACACUCAAUGAGAGACACAACUUUCCCUUCCAAAGCCAUGUCCAUGCCCCUUAACUUUUUACACUUAGUUCUCAAGUAGCCUUUCAUAUUCCACAUUGACAAAAUUCAAUUUUGCCUCUAUGUAUCAUAAAGUCGAUGCCUGAUUAGUAAACCCUAACUUAGUUUUCUAAUAAAGAUUAACCCCCCCCCCCCCCAAACCCCAAGUUGGAACUCAAUAUGUUUACACAUAUUUGCUUACUUUACAUGGAAAAAGAAGCUCCUAAAUACCACUUAUAACCAACAAAUUCAACCAGAAGCAUUCAGCAUAUAGCUAGCAUGUUAUUCACGACAUGUUAUUCAACAUCAAUUCCCAGAUUAAGAGAAUUUAGAGGGAACAAUUGCUAAAGAUCCAAUUGCAUAGAACUAGAGUAUUCAACAAAUCUAGCAGAAAAUGGGAACAUAUCUAGGCAAACAAAAAGACAAUAUAUUGAACUAACACGAUCAGAGACGACAACUGGAUCAGAGACGACAACUUAUAUUUCAUCAAAGGAUUCGUUGGCUGGAUUUGUUCUUCUUCUUUUCUUCUUCCCUUGUAUCCGACGUUUGUGUCAUGUAUUUGGGUCAGUUCACGGUAUGUCCUCUUAAAUGGGCUUUCUGCCAGUCGGGCCUAAUAUUUUUGAAGUGAGCAAUAGCAUGGUCUAACCAAUUUUGGGAUGGGUAAUCGAAAAAAAGUCAGUUUUUGUAAAAGGAUUUUGGCAUGG